This 30-nucleotide non-coding RNA is filed under the name Rattus norvegicus (Norway rat). Lineage: Eukaryota; Metazoa; Chordata; Mammalia; Rodentia; Muridae. The record is from RNAcentral.
UUACAGCUUUAUAGACAGUAAUUCUUGGGG